Cavia porcellus (domestic guinea pig) is the source of this 6727-nucleotide RNA transcript. It is a transcript of the gene named protein phosphatase with EF-hand domain 1, with no coding region annotated. Lineage: Eukaryota; Metazoa; Chordata; Mammalia; Rodentia; Caviidae. The transcript is spliced from 21 exons. The record is from RefSeq and is a predicted model, not a curated record.
GGCUUCAGAGGGCGGGUGGCUGCCUCCUUCCGCUUCAGGUUUGCUGCCGCCUGUUAGCUACGGUGGGCUGGGGACCGGGUGACCCACCUGGCUGAAGGCGCUGUCUCUCUAAUUACCUGACCCCAACUUUAUCCAAAGCGCAGGCAAGGCGGCCGGACGGGGAGAAGCGCGCCCUGACGGGGGCUUCUGGAUGGAUAUUUGUCACCGUCCUAGGAUUGCUCACCACCCUCAAGAGGUUUUUGUUUUGCCCGUAGGGUCUUAUUGUGCAGUCCAGGCUAGUCUUGGCCUUGAAACUGCUAUGUAACCCAGGCUGACCUCAAACUUGUGAUCCUUCUGCCUCAGUCUCCUGAGUGCUGGGAUUGUACACCACCUCACCCAGCUUGGGACCUCCACGUUCCCUCAUAGAGAAGGCUUUCUCAUCUUGGUUUCUCCUAAAACAUCUGGAGUGAGGAAAACCUCUGCAUUUGGCCAAUCAAAGAAUCUAUACUUGAAGGUGAUCAGCUGCGAGUGGCUCCUCAACACUAAGAGCGGGGACUUGUCACACUUCUUGGAAUAAACAAUUGAGUUCUUGAACAUAAUAAGAUUUAGAAGCCAUGGGCUGUGGGAAUUCUUCACUGAACAACAAGAAAUCUGAGCGAGUUUUGAAAGCCGCAUUAGUCAUCCAGAACUGGUACCGAGGUUACAGAGCUCGGCUGAGAGCCAGAUUGCAGUAUGCGCUUGCCAUCUUCGAGUCCAUUGAAUAUGCUAAUGAACAAAGCCAAAUGCAGCUUUCUGACUUCUUCUCCUUCAUGUUGGAAAACUAUACACAAAUACGUAAGGACGAUCCAGAAUUUUCGAACCAACUUCUCAAAAGCACAAAGGAUAGACAGGAGUAUAUGGGGUUGAUAGAGAUCCCAGACUCCUACGAUGGACCACGACUGCAAUUUCCUCUCACUUUUACUGAUAUUAUCUUACUUAUUGAGGGCUUCAAGCAUCAAAAGAUACUUCAUGCUUAUUAUGUCUUGGAAGUGCUAUAUGAAACCAAGAAAUUGCUGCAGCAAAAGCCAAAUUUCACUCAUGUAAAAACUUAUCCUUCCAAAGGCCUCACAAUCUGUGGUGAUUUGCAUGGGAAACUGGAUGAUCUUUUCUUGAUCUUCUAUAAGAAUGGUCUCCCUUCAGAGAACAACCCAUAUCUCUUCAAUGGUGAUUUUGUAGAUCGUGGAAAAAACUCUGUAGAGGUCCUGAUGAUCCUGCUUGUGAGUUUUCUUGUUUACCCUAAGGACAUCCACUUAAACAGAGGGAACCAUGAAGAUUUUAUGAUGAAUAUGAGGUAUGGCUUCACAAAAGAAAUUCUGAAUAAAUAUAAGAUAUAUGGAAAAAAAAUCUUGCAAACCUUGGAAGAUGUGUACGCCUGGAUCCCAAUUGGUGCCAUCAUUGACAAUGAAAUCCUGGUCAUACAUGGUGGGAUAUCUGAAUCCACAGACUUGAAUUUACUCCACCGCAUAGAAAGAAACAGAAUGAAAUCUGUGCUGCUACCUCCAGGGCCAGGAAAUUCCUCCGAGUUGGAGCGGAAGAAAAGAGGUGCAAGCAUCAUGUCAGGGCUAAUCACAUCAAAAGAUUCAUCUUCCGAACAGUUACCAAAGCAUGAAUGGGAGCAGAUUGUUGAUAUUCUGUGGAGUGACCCCAGAGGCACCAAAGGCUGUUUUCCAAACACAGGUCGAGGAGGGGGCUGCUAUUUUGGACCAGACAUUACUGCCAGUGUGCUUAAUAAAUAUCACUUGAAGAAGCUCAUUAGAUCUCAUGAAUGUAAGCCUGAUGGCUAUGAAAUCUGCCAUGAUGGGAAGGUUAUUACUAUAUUUUCUGCUUCUAAUUAUUACGAAGAUGGCAGCAAUCGAGGAGCUUACAUAAGGCUGAAUUAUGGCAUGGACCCAGAAUUUUUCCAGUACCAAGUAACUAAUUCAACAUGUGUACAGCCUCUUCACCUAAGGGUGAGUGCUAUGGAAAGCAGCGCCAUCAGGAUAUUAAAAGAGAAAAUUAUUGCACGAAAAACUGACCUCAUUCAUGCUUUCCAAGUUCGAGACCACAGUAAAACAGGAAAAAUUUCAGUGACUCAGUGGGCUUUUUCUAUGGAGAACAUUUUGGGGCUGAAUUUACCAUGGAGAACCCUGAGUUCACAUCUGGUCCACAUAGACAAAGAUGGAUACGCUGACUACCUGACAAGCUUCCAGGAUAUCCGCAUUGAAAAGCCAGUGAAAGAGGCUCAGUCUGUUGUAAUUGAAACUCUGUACAGAUACCGAUCUGACCUGCAAAUGAUAUUUAAUAUCAUUGAUUCUGAUUGCUCAGGCCAAAUCUCCAUGGAAGAAUUUCGGACCAUGUGGAAACUUUUUAGUUCGCACUACAAUGUUCAAAUUGGUGAUUCUCAAAUUGACGAGCUUGCCAACACAAUGGACUUAAACAAAGAUGGAAGCAUUGACUUCAAUGAAUUUUUAAAAGCUUUCUAUGUAGUGCAUAAGUAUGAGAAGUUGAAAAAAUCAAAUAUCAAGUUAUCUCACUACUAAUGAAGACUUCUCCUCAAACUCCUUAUAAACAGCUGAAUUCAAAUCACAGAUUUUCCCAGGACCUCUGAAAUUCAUAGUAAUAGACAAAAGUAGAUUCCCUAUGCAUGCCACAAGCAGAUGUACCAACUGAAUGUUUGAAACCCUUAACAACCUGAUUUGGGAAAACCAAAUUUAUUGAAGCUAAUUCAUGAACAAAAGGAUGAUUUGAAGGGACAUAAUCACCUGGAGAAUGCGACAGCCUUAUAAUGGGUACUUUGGCCAGGUAUGAACUUCGCGUCCCAGCAUUUCCUUUCUUGCAUGUUCCUGGGAAGGAUCGGCCACAGGAAAUUCUUGAGAGACUGGAAGGCAAGAAGGAAGCACACAUGUGCUACUGCCAGUCUACUGACUCACCUUAUUGGCAUGAAGCAGCAGGUAGGCCUGUGAUUCCUCUGUCUUCCCUUGGAUCCUCUGCCAGACUCUUUGAUUUCUGAGCUGUUUAAUGCCAUUGAAUCAGUAUAUAUCAGUAUACACAAAUAUAGAAUAUAUAUACAUUCAGCUUACACAUACACAGAAUCAGUAUACACAAAUAUAGAAUCAGUAUAUACAUACAUAUAUACAGCCACACAUCAGUUAAAAUCAGGGCAACUGUCUCAUGGUUCACUAGAGGAACAAAUUUAUAUAUCAUACAUAAGUAUCAUUAAAAGGAUUUAAUUUGUGGGCUUACAACAGCUGCCUGCAGGAUCAUGGGUAGAAAAAUGCAAAUGACCAUCUGCGCACUGGAGAGCAAGGGGAUACAGCUGAAGGUUGAAGGCCUGGAGCUCACUGCAAAGUCUGGUGCAAGUCAAGUCUGUGCCAGAAAGCUGAAAGGUCUGGGUUGAAAAGCAGAAGAGUCUGCAGUGGAAGGCUGGAGGAACUGGAGAUGAAUAUUCAAAAGCAAUAGAGCAGGCCAGGGCCCCUCCAAAGAAGAAAAGGGAAGAUUUCUUCUAUCACUUUUUAUUCUAUCCUGGCUCCAAGCUUAUUCGUUGGUGUUGCCCAUAUCUGGGCUGGGUUAUCCCUCCCCAUUUUGUGACCUACAUGUCAGGCAUCUACAAAGACACCCAGAGCUUUACUAAUCUGCUAAGCAGUUCUUACUCAAGUCAAAUUGACAUAUCACGAUGAUCACAGUUGCAUUCUGAUAACUGCAUCAGUAGGUAAUUUCAUCAUUGUGUGAACAUCAUAGAUUGUUUUUACACAAAUGUCAUGAGUCAGUAUAAUCUGAUAGGACCACCAUUGUACAAGCACUCCAGAAAUGUAGUUAUGGGGUAUAUGACUGUAUGUAUUUCCUACUGGUUCUGCCUCUCGCUGAACCCUGACUGAUAUGGAAUUUGGUACUGAGUUGGUUCCAGAACAACAAAAUCGUUAAGAAUGAGUGCUCUGAAUUCGUCCUGAGUUUUCUGGAGUUACUUUUCUAAUCUGAUACGAUUUAAAGCCACUAAUAACCUUCCUUUCAGUGAGAAAGAGGAUGCUUUCAGUCCAUGGGAUGAAGUAGCAAAGCAGUUACUCAAAUUGUCACCUUUAAUGAAGUAUCCCUAGAAUGCAGGACUCUGGGAAACCAAAUAUAGUAUUUUCUACUUUAGAACAUUUUAGUCAAAAUAAGUAUAUUAGGGUUGGUAGGUUGCUGAAGAACCUGGAGAAGCAAAAUGGUCAGCAAAGAACUUUAAAUUCUCACCUCAAGACCUUUACAGACACCUGAAAAUUUCUAGACUACCCUGAAAGGAACCCUUAUCUCUGAUAGCCACCAGGUUGGGAUUUCCAAAAGCCAAACCCAAAGUCUAAUCCUGGGAAUGCUUGACAGCACAAAUUCCCAACCUCAUAGAGUUUCUGCCCUCCAAAAACCAUAUUGAAGUUUGACAUUGUAACAGAGGUAAGGCGUAAUUAGAUCAUAAUGGCUUUGCCUCCAUGAAUGGGUUAAUGCUGUUACCAAGGGAACGUGAUGACAGGAUUGGCCUGAUUUUCCCCUCUGUCCCCUUUCUACCAUGUUUUGAAGCAGCACAAAGGCCCUUACCAGAUGCCAGUGUUUCUGGCCUCCAGAACUGUGAGCCAAAUAUAUACCUAUUGUUUAUUAAUUACUCAAUCUAUGGUUUUCUAUUAUGGUAGCAAAGAAAAAAAAUAAGAUCCUUUUUUGUCAAGUGAGAGAUCAUUGAUUGGGGAUGAAAGGCAGCUAGAAAAUUCAAAUGAGAAUUUAUGGGCAGAUUCUGACUCACAUCUUCUUUUCGAUUAGAAGCAUCCCUUUUAACUCUCUGCCUGAGGAAACUGCACUUUCCCCUUUCCUGAAGAUCCUGUAAUGGCCUCCCUGAAGUCAUCAUCUUGAAGUCACUACUGAUCCUUGUCAUACCUUUCUCUCUCUUUCCCUCUCUUCCUCUCUCUUUUAAAUGAAGAGGGUGUUUAUUGGAGAAAAAAAAAAUAGUUUCUGGACUUCCAGGAGGGCCCAAGUGGGUUAAUGCAUGUCCCCUGGAUCCAGAGCUACUUAGGGAUGAGUGGAAUAUGGGAACUGCUCAGUUCUUUAGUGGCCACCUAUCACAGAUAGCUCUGCCACCACCUAUGUCUGAGUAUGCUAAUCUGACUCUAUAUGGAAGAUCAGAGGUGCCGGAAACAAUGAACAGUGUUGAGAUGGUAAACGUGGGUAAGACCUAAAUAAAUAAUAACCUGCUAUAAGAAUUAUACAAAAAUUAAAUAAUAACAAUGGUGCGUAAAUUGAAGAGGGAGUAAGUGGAGUUAAAGUGUUCUAAAAUCUUUGCAUUGUCUAGCAGCAGAAUAAAAGCAACAAUUACUGUUAGAUUAUGACAAAUUAAGAACGCAUAUUAUACUCCCCAAGGAAACUGAUUUAAAAACAGUAAAAUUAUAUAAUUUCCAAUGUAUGUGGGAAUGGAAAGACAACUUUUUACAGAAGUCAAGACUGUAAAAGGGAAAAUGAACAAAGAGAAUUAAAUCCAAGCAUGAGAAUUAUUACUUUCAAUAUUAACAGAUCCAGUGGGGGGAAAAACUGGUUUUGAUGGAUUAAAAGAACCUCUAACUAAACAAACUCAGAGCUCUGGAGGAAGAGCCAUAGAGAAUUUACUAUAAAGUAACCAGAGCCAGUACACCUAUCAACUAACCGAAGCUCCAUGAGUAGGUUCAGCUGUGUUCACCUGAGCACAAUCCAAGCUACAAAAAUGGCACAGCUGUACCUUGCCCCAAAUGCUGCCGUGCAAAAUUGUCUAAAUAAAUGUUUUAAAAUACAGCAUAAAAUUUUAGGGCAGUUUCUGAUGUGUCUGAACCUACAUGAUAAGAUAAUUGACAUAUACAAGUGGAGUGUUGUCCUAAAAAGACUGAAAUGUGAGUCAUUGACUUUGGGACAAGGCAUGAGGGCAGAGGUUGUAAAAGCAGUUUAGAAACAGCAGAGGCUGAAAAAUUAGCUAGAAACCGUUAUACUUGGCUACAAGAAGAUUAUGUGGUUUUGAAACAAUUUCCAAAACAGUAGUCUAUGGUAGCAUGGAAGAUGGUAGAUAAGGUGGUCUCAGGCAAAAAAGUUGAAAGUGAUAGCUGUGGCCCUGGUUUUGUAGCAUACAACAGAGAUGAGAUGAAACCAAAACUUAGCUUACAAGUAGAAUUUAGGAGGACGAUAAAGGGCCCAGUGCUGGCUGAGUUAGAAAAUGAAAGUAUUUUUCAUCUUUAUUAUCCAGCUGGCAAAAGCUUUACAAAGUAAAUUAAAAUCAAAAGGCAACUUCUAGCCAAGAUGGAGUAACAAGGACCAGAUUUAUCCUCCUGCCUGAAACAAUUUAAACAACGAAAAGAAAAAGACAAAAUAUAUGCAACAGUAGUUUUCUAAACAGCGGACAUCAGGCAUUAAAGGACAGUUACCUAGAGAGAUGACAAACAAAGCAAGUGAGCCUCACAUUGCCCCUGAUUACUGCCUUAUGAGGGUUCACAGGCUGAGGCACAGUAGGGUGAAAAAAACUCAGGCGAAGCCCAGAAGAAUUCCUAAUUUGGGAGACCAAGCAGCUAGACUCUGGAGAGUUUUCUCUGUGCAACAGAGAAAUCUGGAGACCUGGAGAGGAUUCCUCUUCAGGUAUUCAACAGAGCAAUGAGCCCUAUGUGCGCACAAGUAAACUCCCUGAGGCCGGGGGAGGAAACCAUUCAGUGCUCCUUUAGGGCCUGGAGUAAAACCUUGUCCCACUAAUGAAUAUCGAAAA